Molecule: long non-coding RNA, 128 nt
Organism: Ipomoea nil (Japanese morning glory)
Lineage: Eukaryota; Viridiplantae; Streptophyta; Magnoliopsida; Solanales; Convolvulaceae
Exons: 2
Source: RefSeq, a predicted model, not a curated record
CUAAUUGAUAUUUACACAACCAUUUGAUAGGUUUGCUAGCUUUAUAGGUGGUGUAAAUAGAACAAUUUUCUAUUUGCACCACAUUCAUUAAAGUUAGUCAAACAUUAUGUUUUUAUUUAAAAUAUUUA